AAAAGAAAAGCACAAGUUUUUUGUAGAAGCGGGUACCCAAUUAACUCAAUUAUCAGAGGUUGGAACAUGGGAAGGAUCAAAACGGAUCUCCCUGAUGGCAAACUCCUUUGAAAGAAUCCACGAAGUUCCUAGAUGUCCUGAUCUCUUGACUUUAUUUCUCAGCGAUAAUGAUAAUUUGAGUGAGAUCAGUGAUUAUUUCUUUCGAUUUAUGGAUACACUAACCGUUUUAGACCUAUCAAGUACUAAUAUCAAAAAAUUGCCAGUAGGAAUAUCAAAAUUGAAAUCAUUGCAAUAUCUUAAUCUGUCAGGGACGCCGAUAAGGCAAUUGCCAGUUGAGUU
This 339-nucleotide unclassified non-coding RNA is filed under the name Hevea brasiliensis (rubber tree). The record is from RNAcentral. Lineage: Eukaryota; Viridiplantae; Streptophyta; Magnoliopsida; Malpighiales; Euphorbiaceae.